UGGGGAAUUUUGGACAAUGGGGGCAACCCUGAUCCAGCAAUGCCGCGUGUGUGAAGAAGGCCUUCGGGUUGUAAAGCACUUUUGUCCGGAAAGAAAACGCCGUGGUUAAUACCCCGUGGCGGAUGACGGUACCGGAAGAAUAAGCACCGGCUAACUACGUGCCAGCAGCCGCGGUAAUACGUAGGGUGCAAGCGGUUAAUCGGAAUUACUGGGCGUAAAGCGUGCGCAGGCGGUCCGACUAAGACAGAUGUGAAAUCCCCGGGCUUAACCUGGGAACAUGCAUUUGUGACUGGCGGGCUAGAGUAUGGCAGAGGGGGGUAGAAUUCCACGUGUAGCAGGUGAAAUGCGUAGAGAUGUGGAGGAAUACCGAUGGCGAAGGCAG
Molecule: ribosomal RNA, 382 nt
Filed under: uncultured bacterium
Lineage: Bacteria
Description: partial 16S ribosomal RNA
Rfam family: Bacterial small subunit ribosomal RNA
Source: RNAcentral